CAACGCCCGCAGCAGCGCGGCGUUCAGGUGCGGCGUCGGCGGGCAGGGCGAUUCUAGCGGAGAGGAUGGCCGGCCGGAAGAAAGGCGGGAAGACAUGCAUCGUCUCUCCGGGGGCCAUCCACCGCGGCUGAGCCUGUUAUCCUACAGACAUUAUAGGCUGAGUGCAGGGGUUGCCGAAGAGUUUACUUCGGUUCUGAUUCAGCUCUCGAAAGUUACGUCCGUAUCACCCGUUAAAUAAAG
RNAcentral lists this long non-coding RNA (240 nucleotides) under Homo sapiens (human). RNAcentral's name for it is "non-protein coding lnc-USP13-6:1". Lineage: Eukaryota; Metazoa; Chordata; Mammalia; Primates; Hominidae. The record is from RNAcentral.